Molecule: ribosomal RNA, 662 nt
Filed under: uncultured Cyanobacterium sp.
Lineage: Bacteria; Bacillati; Cyanobacteriota; Cyanophyceae; Chroococcales; Geminocystaceae
Description: bacterial SSU rRNA
Rfam family: Bacterial small subunit ribosomal RNA
Source: RNAcentral
CGGACGGGUGAGUAACGCGUGAGAAUCUGCCCUCAGGAGGGGGAUAACGGCUGGAAACGGCCGCUAAUACCCCAUAUGCCGCGAGGUGAAAUGAAUUUCGCCUGAGGAUGAGCUCGCGUCUGAUUAGCUAGUUGGUGGGGUAAGAGCCUACCAAGGCAUCGAUCAGUAGCUGGUCUGAGAGGAUGAUCAGCCACACUGGGGCUGAGACACGGCCCAGACUCCUACGGGAGGCAGCAGUGGGGAAUUUUCCGCAAUGGGCGAAAGCCUGACGGAGCAACGCCGCGUGAGGGAUGAAGGCCUCUGGGCUGUAAACCUCUUUUAUCAAGGAAGAAGAUCUGACGGUACUUGAUGAAUAAGCCACGGCUAAUUCCGUGCCAGCAGCCGCGGUAAUACGGGAGUGGCAAGCGUUAUCCGGAAUUAUUGGGCGUAAAGCGUCCGCAGGCGGUCUUGUAAGUCUGUCGUUAAAGCGUGGAGCUUAACUCCAUUUCAGCGAUGGAAACUGCAAGACUAGAGUGUGGUAGGGGCAGAGGGAAUUCCCGGUGUAGCGGUGAAAUGCGUAGAUAUCGGGAAGAACACCAGUGGCGAAGGCGCUCUGCUGGGCCAUAACUGACGCUCAUGGACGAAAGCCAGGGGAGCGAAAGGGAUUAGAUACCCCUGUAGUC